RNAcentral lists this ribosomal RNA (497 nucleotides) under uncultured bacterium. RNAcentral describes it as "partial 16S ribosomal RNA". It matches the Rfam family "Bacterial small subunit ribosomal RNA", at positions 28 to 507 of the family's 1533-position model. The record is from RNAcentral.
GAUGAACGCUGGCGGCGUGCCUAAUACAUGCAAGUCGAGCGAACAGACGAGGAGCUUGCUCCUCUGACGUUAGCGGCGGACGGGUGAGUAACACGUGGAUAACCUACCUAUAAGACUGGGAUAACUUCGGGAAACCGGAGCUAAUACCGGAUAAUAUAUUGAACCGCAUGGUUCAAUAGUGAAAGACGGUUUUGCUGUCACUUAUAAAUGGAUCCGCGCCGCAUUAGCUAGUUGGUAAGGUAACGGCUUACCAAGGCAACGAUGCGUAGCCGACCGGGGGGGGGGACCGGCCACACUGGAACUGGACCACGGUCAAGACUCCUACGGGAGGCAGCAGUAGGGAAUCUUCCGCAAUGGGCGAAAGCUUGACGGAGAAACGCCGCGUGAGUGAUGAAGGUCUUCGGAUCGUAAAACUCUGUUAUUAGGGAAGAACAAAUGUGUAAGUAACUAUGCACGUCUUGACGGUACCUAAUCAGAAAGCCACGGCUAACUACGUG